GAAAUGCGAUAAGUAAUGUGAAUUGCAGAAUUCAGUGAAUCAUCGAAUCUUUGAACGCACAUUGCGCCCGCCAGUAUUCUGGCGGGCAUGCCUGUUCGAGCGUCAUUUCAACCAUCAAGCCCCCGGGCUUGUGUUGGGGACCUGCGGCUGCCGCAGGCCCCGAAAACCAGUGGCGGGCUCGCUGUCACACCGGGCGUAGUAGAUUUUUCGUCUCGCCCAGGGCGUGCUGCGGGUUCCGGCCGUUAAAAAGCCUCUCUUUUUAACCCAAGGUUGACCUCGGAUCAGGUAGGAAGACCCGCUGAACUUAAG
Molecule: unclassified non-coding RNA, 309 nt
Filed under: plant metagenome
Description: partial contains 5.8S ribosomal RNA, internal transcribed spacer 2, and large subunit ribosomal RNA
Rfam family: 5.8S ribosomal RNA (bases 1-105)
Source: RNAcentral